Herpailurus yagouaroundi (jaguarundi) is the source of this 593-nucleotide long non-coding RNA. RefSeq lists it as uncharacterized. The transcript has 2 exons. The record is from RefSeq and is a predicted model, not a curated record. Lineage: Eukaryota; Metazoa; Chordata; Mammalia; Carnivora; Felidae.
GUUGGGGGCUUCGGCCUCCGGAGUCAGUGAUGGGAUCCAGGGGCUGGGCAGCGCCUUGUCGUUGUCCUUGCUUGCAGGCCCUGUAGUGGUCCUGGGUCGCGUAUCCUCGGGGCCGUUCCCUGAGGCGGUCUUGGGCGAGAAGGGGUGGAGGGACCGGCUCUUGAUGGCUGCCUCCUUCUCCAGGAAGCCCCCAUCUGGUUCUGUGCCGCUCAUCCUGCUGCGCAUGCCUGGGCACCCCCCUCCUGCUUCUCAUCUGCCUUCGUCUGCAGGGCCAGUUCCUUCUGGCCCGAAGUGUAUCCAGGAUUGCCUCACGCUCAUUCAGGUAGACAUCUGUGGAAAGAGGCAGCAGCAGUCGGAGUCCUUGACGUCAUCCCUGGCUCCGUGGAACGUUCUGGGUGGUGUAGCUUGAGACCCCGCUGUGUCUUCUCACGAUGGUGCUCCCUUAGCUGCCAGCUGUUCUGUGGCAAACCCUCCAGAUAAGUCCCUUUCUUGAUACCAACUACUGGUUCUCGUACAUCUGUCCCACGCACCAGUUGGGUAUCAUAAUAUCGUAAAGUCUCCUGAAAACUUCAUAAUAAAUGUGUUUGAUUUUU